ACUAAUUUUAGUUUUUCUAAUUUUGGAAAGACUUGUCAUGCAAUACAAGUGUGUGUGAUCGUCCUACGUAUAUGAAGUGUAUAAUCGAUAUGGUUUAAUACAAGAUCAUAAUCAUAAUCUUGGAUCACUUUAAAGUUAGAAACACAAUCAUCUAAUAACUCCAUGAUCAGGUUAUAGACAACUGUACGUAGUAAUAUGAUUAUAAUCAUUGAAAAGCGAAUAUUUAUUUGAUAUUCACAUUUUAUAGUUAUCUUGGCAUGCUGUCCAAAAUGUGUCCGACAAAUCAACUUAGUUUAUACAAUUUUACUACAAUGUUAACAUUUGCAUUCAUCUUCCAUUAGGAUCACAUACAAGCUCGCGAGUUAGGUCUUGGGUUUUCAGAUCGAAGAGGGAUGAUCCAUCGUAUGGAAUGUUAUCGUAUGUGUCAAGUGAACAUGUCAUUUGUAUAAACAUGAAAUGGUAGACGUAGGCAUCCAUACAUCUUUAGAUGCCAUAUUACUAGGCAUGUUAUUGUGCAUUUUGCCUUCUAUAUUUAGGGAUGUUAAUAUGGGCUUUUGCCAAUAGGGUUAGCCCGGCCCGCAACUAUUUUCUUAACCCAAAACCCGUUUUGUUUUGUGUGGGUUAAAAUAGGGCCGGCUAAAAUAAAACGCGGGUUAGCCCUAAGCCCGUUAUGUUUUUUUUUUAUGAAAACAAACACUAUUAACACGACGUCGUUUUGAUUUUUCUUCAACGCCGUCUCUUUUUUCCAGAAACGAGAAAAGAGAGAAACAAAGAGGAUCGCAACGUGAACCCUAGAAUCUGAACGAAGCUGCUCAAAUUCAAAUCCGAUAACACGACGUCCUCAUCAAGUUCUGCUGCUCCUGGAUUGAUUUCAACGAACACACCAACCCUAGAGAUCGAUUUCGAAGAGCGUCGUCGGGGUUGUAUCCGUCUUCUCCAAUAAGCAUUCUGUGAGAGUGUAGUUCGUUGAGAGCAAAUGUUGGAGCAACGUGUUGGAGUUUUGAAGACUUGGAGUCUUGGAAGAGUGCACCUUUGAGUUUUUACUUUUAUGCUAAACAUUAUACAAUUAUGAAUAAAAAUUUAUAAACUUUGGGUUUUAAUUUCAUGAUAAACAUUUACACUUAUAAAAUAAAAAGAACUUAAGCUUUGGUUUUCUAA
Brassica napus (rape) is the source of this 1158-nucleotide long non-coding RNA. RefSeq lists it as uncharacterized. NCBI's taxonomy places the organism in Eukaryota, Viridiplantae, Streptophyta, Magnoliopsida, Brassicales, Brassicaceae. The transcript is spliced from 2 exons. The record is from RefSeq and is a predicted model, not a curated record.